Molecule: ribosomal RNA, 245 nt
Filed under: uncultured bacterium
Lineage: Bacteria
Description: partial 16S ribosomal RNA
Rfam family: Bacterial small subunit ribosomal RNA
Source: RNAcentral
UGCUCGGGAUACCUUAGUGGCGCACGGGUGAGUAACGCGUGGGAAUCUGCCCCGGAGCGGGGAAUAACAGUUGGAAACGACUGCUAAUACCGCAUACGCCCUCAGGGGGAAAGGCUUCGGCCACUCUAAGACGGUCCCGCGUCUGAUUAGCUAGUUGGUGAGGUAAUGGCUCACCAAGGCGACGAUCAGUAGCUGGUCUGAGAGGAUGACCAGCCACACUGGGACUGAGACACGGCCCAGACUCC